RNAcentral lists this ribosomal RNA (247 nucleotides) under uncultured bacterium. Its description in RNAcentral is "partial 16S ribosomal RNA". It matches the Rfam family "Bacterial small subunit ribosomal RNA", at positions 523 to 769 of the family's 1533-position model. The record is from RNAcentral.
AUACGGAGGGGUCCGAGCGUUGUCCGGAUUUACUGGGCGUAAAGGGUGAGUAGGCGGUUGCAUAUGUCAGAUGUAAAAGGCACAGGCUCAACUUGUGUUAGCAUUUGAAACUGUGCGACUUGAGUGCAGGAGAGGUAAGUGGAAUUCCUAGUGUAGCGGUGAAAUGCGUAGAUAUUAGGAGGAACACCAGUGGCGAAGGCGACUUACUGGACUGUAACAGACGCUGAGUCACGAAAGCGUGGGUAGC